GACGAACGCUGGCGGCGUGCUUAACACAUGCAAGUCGAACGGAAAGGCCCGGCUUUUGGGGGGUGGGCGGGGGGCGAACGGGGAAGGAACACGUGAGUAACCUGCCAUUGACGUUGGGAUGACCUCAUGAAACUGGGGCUAAUACCGGAUAGGAGCUCCUGCUGCAUGGGGGGGGUUGGAAAGUUUCGGCGGUUGGGGAUGGACUCGCCGCUUAUCAGCUUGUUGGUGGGGUAGUGGCUUACCAAGGCUUUGCCGGGUAGCCGGCCUGAGAGGGUGACCGGCCACAUUGGGACUGAGAUACGGCCCAGACUCCUACGGGAGGCAGCAGUGGGGAAUAUUGCACAAUGGGCGGAAGCCUGAUGCAGCAACGCCGCGUGCGGGAUGACGGCCUUCGGGUUGUAAACCGCUUUCGCCUGUGACGAAGCGUGAGUGACGGUAAUGGGUAAAGAAGCACCGGCUAACUACGUG
This 468-nucleotide ribosomal RNA is filed under the name uncultured bacterium. Its description in RNAcentral is "partial 16S ribosomal RNA". It matches the Rfam family "Bacterial small subunit ribosomal RNA", at positions 28 to 507 of the family's 1533-position model. The record is from RNAcentral.